CGGCGUGCUUAACACAUGCAAGUCGAACGGAAAGGCCCUGCUUUUGUGGGGUGCUCGAGUGGCGAACGGGUGAGUAACACGUGAGUAACCUGCCCUUGACUUUGGGAUAACUUCAGGAAACUGGGGCUAAUACCGGAUAGGAGCUCCUGCUGCAUGGUGGGGGUUGGAAAGUUUCGGCGGUUGGGGAUGGACUCGCGGCUUAUCAGCUUGUUGGUGGGGUAGUGGCUUACCAAGGCUUUGACGGGUAGCCGGCCUGAGAGGGUGACCGGCCACAUUGGGACUGAGAUACGGCCCAGACUCCUACGGGAGGCAGCAGUGGGGAAUAUUGCACAAUGGGCGGAAGCCUGAUGCAGCAACGCCGCGUGCGGGAUGACGGCCUUCGGGUUGUAAACCGCUUUCGCCUGUGACGAAGCGUGAGUGACGGUAAUGGGUAAAGAAGCACCGGCUAACUACGUGCCAGCAGCCGCGGUGAUACGUAGGGUGCGAGCGUUGUCCGGAUUUAUUGGGCGUAAAGGGCUCGUAGGUGGUUGAUCGCGUCGGAAGUGUAAUCUUGGGGCUUAACCCUGAGCGUGCUUUCGAUACGGGUUGACUUGAGGAAGGUAGGGGAGAAUGGAAUUCCUGGUGGAGCGGUGGAAUGCGCAGAUAUCAGGAGGAACACCAGUGGCGAAGGCGGUUCUCUGGGCCUUUCCUGACGCUGAGGAGCGAAAGCGUGGGGAGCGAACAGGCUUAGAUACCCUGGUAGUCCACGCUGUAAACGGUGGGUACUAGGUGUGGGGUCCAUUCCACGGGUUCCGUGCCGUAGCUAACGCUUUAAGUACCCCGCCUGGGGAGUACGGCCGCAAGGCUAAAACUCAAAGGAAUUGACGGGGCCCCGCACAAGCGGCGGAGCAUGCGGAUUAAUUCGAUGCAACGCGUAGAACCUUACCUGGGUUUGACAUGGAUCGGGAGUGCUCAGAGAUGGGUGUGCCUCUUUUGGGGUCGGUUCACAGGUGGUGCAUGGCUGUCGUCAGCUCGUGUCGUGAGAUGUUGGGUUAAGUCCCGCAACGAGCGCAACCCUUGUUCACUGUUGCCAGCACGUUAUGGUGGGGACUCAGUGGAGACCGCCGGGGUCAACUCGGAGGAAGGUGGGGAUGACGUCAAGUCAUCAUGCCCCUUAUGUCCAGGGCUUCACGCGUGCUACAAUGGCUGGUACAGAGAGUGGCGAGCCUGUGAGGGUGAGCGAAUCUCGGAAAGCCGGUCUCAGUUCGGAUUGGGGUCUGCAACUCGACCUCAUGAAGUCGGAGUCGCUAGUAAUCGCAGAUCAGCAACGCUGCGGUGAAUACGUUCCCGGGGCUUGUACACACCGCCCGUCAAGUCAUGAAAGUUGGUAACACCCGAAGCCGGUGGCCUAACCGUUGUGGGGGAGCCGUCGAAGGUGGGACUGGUGAUUAGGACUAAGU
This 1439-nucleotide ribosomal RNA is filed under the name uncultured organism. Its description in RNAcentral is "16S ribosomal RNA". It matches the Rfam family "Bacterial small subunit ribosomal RNA". The record is from RNAcentral.